Molecule: unclassified non-coding RNA, 690 nt
Filed under: Hevea brasiliensis (rubber tree)
Lineage: Eukaryota; Viridiplantae; Streptophyta; Magnoliopsida; Malpighiales; Euphorbiaceae
Source: RNAcentral
AUAAAUUUUAAUAGAUUCUUGGAAGCAAAAAUCACAAGACUUCAUUUAGCUUAUGGAAUAAAAUAAAAUUGAAGAGGAAAAAAAAAGGGCAUCUUCCAAAGACUAGAAAACAAACAGAAACAUUAUAGAGAAAAGAGAAAGCAGGGCAAAAACUUGUUGGACUAUUCCUCUUCUCCUCUUCUUACCUAGUCUUCAUCUUUCCUUUUUAAUGUGAUGAGAAAGUAAAAAAUUAAUCAAACAACAAAAUAAAAAAAAUACCAUUUUUUUCACUUAAAACAUAAUAUUAUUCUUCUCUUCUUAUCUCUGAUUAUCAGUGCUUGAAUUUGGCCUCCUCACAAAUCUCCCCUUCAUUCUAGGCCGUUGAUCAGCAUUGACUUUUCUAACUUGAUACCUGAUCUUCUUAGAGAAAAGACGUGUAAGUCGUUUUUCCUUGUAUCGCAAUACACUAGCUUCUCUUAUUCCAUUUUCUGAAAAUAUAUCUAUUUCUGCCAAUUUAGCAGAGAAAUCAUUUCCUUCGGAUCCCCAAAGAUCGUCCGAAAACGGAGACCCACGGUCUGACCAAGCGUCCAAAACGCCGUCGUAGUUUAGUUUCAAUAACAAACCGGAAUUCGGUUGCGGAAUUGAAUUCUUCUUCGCCAACUCUGAAUUCUUCAACUCCACAGCUGGUUUCUCCUUCUUCUUCUUCUUCUU